AGUGAACGCUGGCGGUAGGCCUAACACAUGCAAGUCGAACGGCAGCACAGUAAGAGCUUGCUCUUACGGGUGGCGAGUGGCGGACGGGUGAGGAAUACAUCGGAAUCUACUUUUUCGUGGGGGAUAACGUAGGGAAACUUACGCUAAUACCGCAUACGACCUACGGGUGAAAGCAGGGGAUCUUCGGACCUUGCGCGAUUGAAUGAGCCGAUGUCGGAUUAGCUAGUUGGCGGGGUAAAGGCCCACCACGGCGACGAUCCGUAGCUGGUCUGAGAGGAUGAUCAGCCACACUGGAACUGAGACACGGUCCAGACUCCUACGGGAGGCAGCAGUGGGGAAUAUUGGACAUUGGGCGCAAGCCUGAUCCAGCCAUACCGCGUGGGUGAAGAAGGCCUUCGGGUUGUAAAGCCCUUUUGUUGGGAAAGAAAAGCAGCAGGUUAAUACCCCGCUGUUCUGACGGUACCCAAAGAAUAAGCACCGGCUAACUUCGUG
RNAcentral lists this ribosomal RNA (492 nucleotides) under uncultured bacterium. Its description in RNAcentral is "partial 16S ribosomal RNA". It matches the Rfam family "Bacterial small subunit ribosomal RNA", at positions 29 to 507 of the family's 1533-position model. The record is from RNAcentral.